This 1899-nucleotide ribosomal RNA is filed under the name Triticum aestivum (bread wheat). Its description in RNAcentral is "partial small subunit ribosomal RNA". The record is from RNAcentral. Lineage: Eukaryota; Viridiplantae; Streptophyta; Magnoliopsida; Poales; Poaceae.
AUGAAGCCUUCUGGUAAGCGUACCAGCCAACACAGGGAUCAUGACAGAGAAGACAGGGAUCAAAAGCGGAGGCCGUCUCACACUCAGGAAACCUCCGGUACGGACGAAUUGGUUGUUUACCGGAUACUUUGUCCAGACAAAGUGAUUGGUAGUGUAAUUGGCAAGGGUGGCAAGGUGAUAAAUUCCAUCCGGCAACAGACGAAUGCCAAAGUCAAGAUUGUCGACCCAUACCCUGGUGCUGACAAAAGGGUUAUUUUGGUAUAUUGUUAUGUCAAGCAUAGAGACGUCAUGAUUAGCGACAUAGAUGCUGCUGCUGAUGAUGAUAGGGAGCCUGUUUGCGCAGCACAAAGUGCAUUACUCAAGGUGCAUGAUGCAAUUGUUGAUGCUCUGGCAAUCACUAGUGACUCUGAUGAUAAAGAAGCCAACAUUCUUGUACCAGCUAGUCAAGCUGCAAGUGUUAUUGGAAAAUCUGGUUCUGUCAUCAAGAGGCUUCGCUCAGUUUCAAAAUCAUUCAUUAAAGUUAAACCAAAAGAUCCAAGUGAUGUUACACAUUCAUGUGCUAUGAGUUUUGAUAAUUUCGUUCAGAUAACUGGGGACGCUAGAGCUGUCAAGAAGGCAUUGUUUGCAGUAUCAACAAUUAUCUACAAAUGUCCAUCAAAAGAGAACAUUUCUCUUGAAACAUCUAUUGACGAACUUCCUCCAACCAUUAUACUUCCUUCAGAGCUUCCAGUUUAUCCGGCUAGCAGCUUAUACUCAGUGUCAGAUGCUUCUGUGUCAUCUGGGCAUCCAAGUCUGUCUAUCUUAGGGGCAAGAAGUCGUGGUUCUCAUGUUCCUGAAUUUACUGUACCCACUGAUGCCCAUGGUGGAUUGCCCAUUUAUCAGUCUAUGGUCCCAGCUAUUCCUACUUAUAACACCCCCAAAUGUUCAGGAGAGCUAUUGGUGCGUGUUGUAUGCCCUGGUGACAAGAUUGGGUUAGUUAUUGGUAAAGGUGGGAUGACCAUAAAGAAUAUAAGGAAAGAAAGUGGUGCAAGCGUAGAUGUUGAUGACGCAAAGAAUGAUAAGGAGGAAAGCAUAAUCACCAUUUCGUCAACUGAGGCCACCAAUGAUGUUAAGUCUGCAGCUGUGGAAGCUGUUCUUCUGCUUCAAGCAAAGAUCAACGAUGAAACUGAAGAUAGAAUGCAUCUCCGCCUUCUUGUUCCGGGUAAUGUCAUUGGCUGCCUUAUCGGCAAGGGUGGUUCAAUCAUUAAUGAUAUGCGGAAUAAGUCUAAGGCAAUUAUCCACAUAUCCAAGGGUACUAAGCCCCGGAAGGCAUCUUCCAAUGAUGAGCUUGUCGAGGUGUUCGGGGAAGUGGACAAACUGCGUGAUGCUCUUGUUCAGAUCGUUCUAAGGCUCCGGGAAGAAGUUCUGAAGGACAGUGCGGGGAGGCAAAAUUCUGGCAAGGAUGGGAAGCUAACUGUUGCCACCACUGAACCCGUGUAUUCAAGCAGCUUUCCGAUGCCAGCAUUAUUACCUUACAGUCAACAAAUCACCCCAUUGCGCCAUGAACAAAGGGGUGAAGCUGAGCGUGGUUUGAAUGUAUUUCCUCGUAGCAGCUUGUAUCAUGGAUACAGCCCCAGGCAGGCUGUAGAUGAUGGAUUUGGAGUACGCUCCUCAUACACUUCAAAGCCUUAUGGAAGACGCGUCCCGGAUAUGGAAAUGUUUAUUCCUUCUAGCGGCCUUUCAAAAGUAAUGGGGAAGCAUGGUACAAACUUGGACAAUAUUAGAAAGAUUUCUGGAGCUGACAUUGAAAUUAUUGAAUCAAAAUCAUCUCGUCAUGAGCAUGUUGCUAACAUAUUUGGCACCCCGGAGCAGAGGCAGUCGGCAGAGAAUUUGAUCAAAGCUUUCAUAAUGUCUACUUAA